AGAGUUUGAUCAUGGCUCAGAUUGAACGCUGGCGGUAUGCUUAAGACAUGCAAGUCGUGCGGUAGAAGGCUUCGGCCUUUGAGAGCGGCGGACGGGUGAGUAACACGUGGGAAUCUACCUAUUAGUGGGGGACAGCCCAGCGAAAGCUGGAUUAAUACCGCAUACGCCCUACGGGGGAAAGCAGCAAUGCGCUAAUAGAUGAGCCCGCGUAAGAUUAGCUAGUUGGUAAGGUAAAGGCUUACCAAGGCGACGAUCUUUAGCUGGUCUGAGAGGAUGGCCAGCCACAUCGGGACUGAGACACGGCCCGGACUCCUACGGGAGGCAGCAGUCGGGAAUAUUGGUCAAUGGGCGGAAGCCUGAACCAGCCAUGCCGCGUGCAGGAAGACGGCCCUAUGGGUUGUAAACUGCUUUUGUCAGGGGAUAAACCUAUCUACGUGUAGAUAGCUGAAGGUACCUGAAGAAUAAGGAUCGGCUAACUCCGUGCCAGCAGCCGCGGUAAUACGGAGGAUCCGAGCGUUAUCCGGAUUUAUUGGGUUUAAAGGGUGCGCAGGCGGACUGGUAAGUCAGGGGUGAAAACCUACGGCUCAACUGUAGACGUGCCUUUGAUACUGCCGGACUAGAGUUAAGAUGGAGUGGGCGGAAUGUGUUGUGUAGCGGUGAAAUGCUUAGAUAUAACACAGAACACCGAUCGCGAAGGCAGCUCACUAAACUUUGACUGACGCUCAUGCACGAAAGCGUGAGGAUCAAACAGGAUUAGAUACCCUGGUAGUCCACGCUGUAAACGAUGAUCACUCGCUGUUGGCGAUAUACCGUCAGUGGCUAAGCGAAAGUGAUAAGUGAUCCACCUGGGGAGUACGACCGCAAGGUUGAAACUCAAAGGAAUUGACGGGGGCCCGCACAAGCGGAGGAGCAUGUGGUUUAAUUCGAUGAUACGCGAGGAACCUUACCAGGGCUCGAACGUACAGCGACUUGUCGAGAAAUCGGCAAUCCCUUCGGGGCGAUGUACGAGGUGCUGCAUGGUUGUCGUCAGCUCGUGCCGUGAGAUGUUGGGUUAAGUCCCGCAACGAGCGCAACCCUCGCCCCUAGUUGCCAGCAUUCAGUUGGGCACUCUAGGGGGACUGCCGGUGAUAAGCCGAGAGGAAGGUGGGGAUGACGUCAAGUCCUCAUGGCCCUUACGGGCUGGGCUACACACGUGCUACAAUGGUGGUGACAGUGGGCAGCGAAGCCGCGAGGCCGAGCUAAUCUCCAAAAGCCAUCUCAGUUCGGAUUGCACUCUGCAACUCGGGUGCAUGAAGUUGGAAUCGCUAGUAAUCGUGGAUCAGCAUGCCACGGUGAAUACGUUCCCGGGCCUUGUACACACCGCCCGUCACACCAUGGGAGUUGGCUUUACCCGAAGGUGCUGUGCUAACCGCAAGGAGGCAGGCAACCACGGUAGGGUCAGCGACUGGGGUGAAGUCGUAACAAGGUAGCCAAGGGCGAA
Molecule: ribosomal RNA, 1480 nt
Filed under: uncultured bacterium
Lineage: Bacteria
Description: partial 16S ribosomal RNA
Rfam family: Bacterial small subunit ribosomal RNA
Source: RNAcentral